GGAAGCUCUCCAGGCACCAUGCCAGAGCCUGUGUGCACAUCUUUGCACUCCCCAAGUAGCUGUCCUGCCUCUGCCCAGGGGUGAGCCCGAGACCUUCUAGUCUCCUCCUGCCUGGAGCGAGCGGUCACUCACUCCUGGAAGAUGCCUGGAGACGUGGGGUUCUCUCUGACUCAUGCAAUAGCGAGCCAGUCUCCAAAACCCCAGUCAGCAGGGAGAGGCUAAACCAGGUGGCAGUCUACUCAGCCUCCAACCCCACAGCCCCAGGGGAAGAAGGACCAGGUGCAGUUCACGGGGCAGUUAUGAAACCUGAGAAGAAGCUGGAAUGGCGUUGGGCUGGGGCUUUGAGAACAGGCAGGUAUUGUGUGGUCAGGUGCAGAGGGGGUAUAGAAUACCCAUCAGUUCACAUACAAACACUAUCCCAGCUUUGUGCAGAGGGAGGAAAGGCCUUCCAGGAGCCUGAGUGGUUUCAAACCAGAAUGGAAAAAGGAAGGCUGUGUCCAUGAGGGGGUUGGUGAGCCACACCCAGAAGAAAGGAGGCCCAGAAGCCAAUAUGGACAUGUUUCCCAGCCCUCACCCCAAUGCCUAAAACAAUUUUAAAGAUCCCAGCAUAUAUGCCUGAGACAUCUCCGGGGAUACGGAAGUUCCAUCGGUCAGUGAUCAAAGAAUCUUUUCCUAACAGCCUUGGGCAGGGGUUAGUUUCUCCACAUGUCAUCAUACUGGUCAUCAGCAAAUACUUACUGUCUGCAUGGUCAAAGAUCAGUGCCUGCCCUCCCAGUCCCUGCCUCCUGAAGACAGACCAUGAAGGGCAACAAAGCUUCGCAGGAGCUUGAGCAACCAGACAAAGAUGGCUUGCAACGGGUCAGACACAAGAGACAUGGAACACCUCAUCUUUGUGUGGAAGCCAAAGCUUUGCAUGUUUUACCAUUUUCCUCUUUCACAGUGGCUGGAAGGCUGUGAAAGGGAUCAUGAAGAGACUGAAGUGGGCUCUCAGGGAUCGUCUCCUUGGGGCCAUCUGCUCACCACUGCCCUCCACUGGACGCCGGGCCAAAGCAGCCCGGCCCUGUCGGGGCGCUCUCAGGCUUCCUUCUCGCCCCAUGCUGGAUCCAGCUCCUGGGCAAACCGGUUUUUCUGCUGGCUUCUCUUACCAGGUUUGUUUCACUCUAACUGUGCUGCACUGAAUUCAUGA
Molecule: long non-coding RNA, 1186 nt
Organism: Bos indicus x Bos taurus (hybrid cattle)
Lineage: Eukaryota; Metazoa; Chordata; Mammalia; Artiodactyla; Bovidae
Source: Ensembl